Molecule: long non-coding RNA, 3033 nt
Organism: Drosophila mojavensis
Lineage: Eukaryota; Metazoa; Arthropoda; Insecta; Diptera; Drosophilidae
Exons: 2
Source: RefSeq, a predicted model, not a curated record
UCUUUCUAGCUCGCUCACUCACUCUAUUUCUGGCUCUCUGUAACUGUCUGUCUCUCUCUCUCUCUCUCUAGCUGCCUGUACGUUAAUCGGCGUAAGUGUGUGAGUGUGUGUUCUUGAACUGUCUGUGUUAGUGCGUGUUUCACAAAUCACACGAAAAACGAAAAUGAAAUGAAAUGCUCCUCAAACCGAGUGUGUUGUGUUUUCUUUCAAUAAAUUCAUCGUCACAUUUAUUGUUCGCUUUCGUUUGUUCAAGCCUUGUCUUACGAUGUUUAUUAUUCAACUAUUUUUUCACAAUUUCACAAAAUUUUUAUGCGAUUUACACAACCGUAGAAAGUUAAUUGUCAUACGUUUGACAUUUGUUGACACUUCCAGCGCACUUCAACAAACAAACAAAAAAAAACAAAAAAAAGCAAGAAAUAACAGUGUUGUAAAACAAAUGAAAAUAAAUACUAGGACUUCAACUGGCAAUCGAAUUUGAAAAUAAAUUCAUUUCAGCUUCUCUUAUCUGAUUGGCCAGCUCAAUUGAAGCCGUCUUCAGUUGCCAAGAAACGAGAGCAAAUAUUAACACGAAUAUUUUGUUGCUAGCUUAUGGACCUCACUGGACAUCCUCCUGCAAGAGCUUUUGGCAAUUGCCAUUCAAGCCUGACAAGCCUUCAAAUUGAUUUGCAUAGUGAUAGGCAGUGAAAUAUAAUAAUGACAAGACAAUCGGAAAUACAAUGAAAGCCGUUUAGAUUAUCAGCUGAAAAGUGUCCCACACACUCGAUUGUCGAUCGGUGAAUGUCGCCGACUCACUCUCUUCUUGCCUCUUCUUCCAUCACUCUCUCUCUCGCUCACUCUUUUUCGUGGACUUCCAAUUUUGGUCAAUGCGGCUGACAACAUCGCACAUUGUGAGCCGUGCGACAGCCAUUGGCGUCCAUCAGUCGGGCAGUUGCCAAUCAAACAAAAGUCACAGGCAAUGGACAACUGUGGCAGCAGCAGCAGCAGGAGAAGGAGCAGCAGGAGGAGUAUCAUCAACAACAACAACAACAACUGCAUAACGAUAUGCAAAAUAUGCAACAGUCUGGCAGCUUCUGUGCUGAUGCAGCAGGAGCAGCAGCUGCAGCAGCACUCGACUCCUGCUUGUUGUCUGAGACGUUCGCCUGUCGCUUUGCGCCCAAUUACGCCUUCAAAUUGAGUGAUAAAUGUCUUAAGGAUGGCACAUAAAUAAGCUGCAGUUAAAUUUAUUACACAACCCACACAAAGACUUCAUAAAAAUGCAAACUAAAUGAACUAUUAAGAGGCGGCGGCAAACAUGAGAAGCAAAUAAGAAACCCAGAAACCAAAGCCAAUAAACAAACCGACAGCCGAAAAACAGAAAGAAAAAAAAAAAAAAAAAACUCUGCAAACGAAAUUCAAGAUCAGACAAUUGAAUUGCAUUGCGCUUAAGCAAAUAAAUAAAAAGCGCGAGAGCAGAGAGAGAAAAAAAAAUAUAAGGGACAACAAACAAGUUACGAGUGCUGUGUGGCAAAGGGGGCGUGGCAUGGGGAAGCCAGCAACAGCAGCAGCAGCAGCCACAGUCACAGCAGCCGUGUGAGAAAAUAUGCAAAUAAAUGCGCAAAUAAAAUGUGCAAUCAACUGGAGAUGGCGCACUGAGAUCUGGCAACUGGCAACUGGCAACUGUGGCAACUGUGGCAACUGUGGCAACUGGCGACUUGCAACACGCAGCCAACCUUCCCCAACGUUACCUAUUCCCCUUUCCAGCGAAAUCCAAAGUGUGAAUGUUGCGCAUGCGCAGCGACCGCGUGGAGAACACUGCGCAUCAAUUAGGCCGCCAGGCGGCCAGGAACAGCAGCACGAAUUGUCCAGAGAGUGCGCGAUAAGCCAAAGGCUUGGACACGAAGAAGCAGAAGCCACACACACACACAAACAGACAAACACACACACAGUUGCAUUCACAUAUACAAAACGUUUAGAUAAACAAAUACAGAAGAAUGCUGAAAUGAUGUUAAAAGCUACAAAAUGAAGUGGAAGCUGGCGGCCCUCGAAAUAGGAUUUAGUUAAAGGGGCAUCUCGGCGGAUUGGCGGCUUGAGCUGGAUUCGCCGUGGACCCAAGCUGGCUGCAGCUACAAAUUCAAUGAACAUGCGCGCGCACAGUUGAAGAGCAAACAAAUUUAUUACGCGCCGUUUGAACAGCGCAUAAAUUUAACAGCAGCAGCAGCAGCAGCAGCAGCAACAACAGUCGCAGUUGCAGUCGCAGUCACAGUCGCAGCUGCAGUCGCAGUUGCAGUCACAGUCAGAGAGGCAGCCAAGAUUAACAUACCUGGGCUAAAGCGACUGUCCGACCGACUGGGCCCAAUCGAUCGCUGUGGCUUGCGUGCAGCGUGCGUGAUUUAAAAACAGCGCCACAUUUGGCGAACAUUUACGUGGACUUGUCCCAAAACUACGUAAAACGAUUUAAAGCCGAACACGAGCAAUUUGUGGAUAGGCUGCAGGCAGUCAACUGAGGAGAGGGGGCGAGCAGCGCUAAGCCGAAGACCAAAUGCUCUUGGAGCUAUAUAAAUGGUGAAUAGAUUUAUAAAGAAUUGUUGUCGCUUAAAAUUCGAACAAAAAUAUUAUAUGAGGGCAUGGAUUGACGGAUAGAACGACUGAUAGACAGGGAGUGUCAUACAAAAAAAAAAGAGAAAGCGAUCUUGAAACUGUUCAGUUUAAUUGGGAAAUCUUUCUGGAAAACUGAAAAAAAUCAUAUGACGAUGAUCAUUAUUAUUAUAAGCAAAUCAUGUCAUAUAUCUAUAUAUCCCUAUCUCUAGGUAGGGCUCGAUUAGAAUAUAACUAUAUCCCCAUCUCAAGGAAGAGUAAGAUUAGAAUAUACAUUCAAAGAAAGAUAUCAUAGAGAAUUCAUAUCAUAUCAUAAUCUUAUGCUUUAGGAAAAAAAAAAAACUUUUCAAAGAAAAACUCAUUUUAUCAAUUUUAUCAAUUGUAUCUUUGGAGAACUGUAAAAUAAAUGUUGGUAGAGUUUCAGAUUCAACUUAGGCUGAGAACCAACUCUUAACUGAA